GAUGAACGCUGGCGGCGUGCCUAAUACAUGCAAGUCGAGCGAAUGGAUUAAGAGCUUGCUCUUAUGAAGUUAGCGGCGGACGGGUGAGUAACACGUGGGUAACCUGCCCAUAAGACUGGGAUAACUCCGGGAAACCGGGGCUAAUACCGGAUAACAUUUUGAACCGCAUGGUUCGAAAUUGAAAGGCGGCUUCGGCUGUCACUUAUGGAUGGACCCGCGUCGCAUUAGCUAGUUGGUGUGGUAACGGCUCACCAAGGCAACGAUGCGUAGCCGACCUGGGAGGGUGAUCGGCCACACUGGGACUGAGACACGGCCCAGACUCCUACGGGAGGCAGCAGUAGGGAAUCUUCCGCAAUGGACGAAAGUCUGACGGAGCAACGCCGCGUGAGUGAUGAAGGCUUUCGGGUCGUAAAACUCUGUUGUUAGGGAGGAACAAGUGCUAGUUGAAUAAGCUGGCACCUUGACGGUACCUAACCAGAAAGCCACGGCUAACUACGUGCCAGCCGCCGCAGUAA
RNAcentral lists this ribosomal RNA (515 nucleotides) under uncultured bacterium. RNAcentral's name for it is "partial 16S ribosomal RNA". It matches the Rfam family "Bacterial small subunit ribosomal RNA", at positions 28 to 523 of the family's 1533-position model. The record is from RNAcentral.